GAUGAAGAACGUAGCGAAAUGCGAUAAGUAAUGUGAAUUGCAGAAUUCAGUGAAUCAUCGAAUCUUUGAACGCACAUUGCGCCCGCCAGUAUUCUGGCGGGCAUGCCUGUUCGAGCGUCAUUUCAACCAUCAAGCCCCCGGCUUGUGUUGGGGACCUGCGGCUGCCGCAGGCCCUGAAAACCAGUGGCGGGCUCGCUAGUCACUCCGAGCGUAGUAAUACAUCUCGCUCAGGGCGUGCUGCGGGUUCCGGCCGUUAAAAAGCCUUAUUUACCCAAGGAUGACCUCGGAUCAGGUAGGAAGACCCGCUGAACUUAAGCAUAUCAAUAAGCGGAGGA
This 335-nucleotide unclassified non-coding RNA is filed under the name soil metagenome. RNAcentral's name for it is "partial contains 5.8S ribosomal RNA, internal transcribed spacer 2, and large subunit ribosomal RNA". The stretch from base 1 to 120 matches the Rfam family "5.8S ribosomal RNA", at positions 35 to 154 of the family's 154-position model. The record is from RNAcentral.